AAUAACAAUUCACAGAAAUUUUAAUUUUUACAAAUCUUUUUAAGGUUUUCAAAAAAAAAAAAACAUAAUUAUGUAUAUGUAAUAGCAAAAUCACGUACCUUGGAUGCUAUUAACGGUAUGCGUGACCGUGUAUAAUGAAGUAAUUAUCUUUUUGAAAAUUAAGAUUGUUUCAUACUAGUGUGUGUCCGUGGGAUGAGACAAAACUCAAGACGGAUCACGAAUAAUGAAGAUGCAAGCACUGUUAAUAAUCAUUAUGUUAAAUAUUUAAAUACAAAUUUGUGUUUAAAACAACAAUGGAUCUACUAUCUCUUGUACUAUUAUGGGUUGAUAAUGGAUUGCACAAACGUAUACUCACACAGUUCAUACAUUAUAAAUUGGAAUCAAUUAUAUAUUUUAUCGGGAAUAACCAAGGAUUCUGUGAGGGAGAGAGAGAGUUAAACACUUUGUGGUGCACUAUAAAUUAACACCGUUCGAUACGAUUGUAAAAUAUACGAAACCAAAUGAGACCAAUGGGGAUGACUCAGAUUAACCACUAUUGAAAACCUUUGCAUAUCUAUAGAUUAAACUGUUUAGAUUCAAAAUGACGUUACAACUCGUACUAUCAGUCACGACGUUCCUACUGUUUUGCGGAUCCAUUGAAUCAGAUACCUCCGGGCACGUAAACAACUGCGUUCGGCGACCCUUUGAUAAUUGGCCAAAACACAUAAACUCAACAACUAUCGAUUGACAACGCCAAGAUACCAGGUUGAUGGUUAUCCGUAGGCACUCAUAGAAGAAUCAUCGAUUAAUUUCUCGAUCUAACGCUUAGCUUUCUCGGCAUGUCCAAUCGAAGUUUCGUUGUCACGCGAUCUGUGCGCCUUGCCGUCAUAAAGAU
Daktulosphaira vitifoliae (grape phylloxera) is the source of this 874-nucleotide long non-coding RNA. RefSeq lists it as uncharacterized. Lineage: Eukaryota; Metazoa; Arthropoda; Insecta; Hemiptera; Phylloxeridae. The record is from RefSeq and is a predicted model, not a curated record. The transcript has 3 exons.